GACGAACGCUGGCGGCGUGCUUAACACAUGCAAGUCGAACGGUAAGGCCCCAGCUUGCUGGGGUACACGAGUGGCGAACGGGUGAGUAACACGUGGGUGACCUGCCCCGCACUUCGGGAUAAGCCUGGGAAACUGGGUCUAAUACCGGAUAGGACCGCACCGUGAGGGUGUGGUGGAACGUUUUUCGGUGUGGGAUGGGCCCGCGGCCUAUCAGCUUGUUGGUGGGGUAAUGGCCUACCAAGGCGGCGACGGGUAGCCGGCCUGAGAGGGUGGACGGCCACAUUGGGACUGAGACACGGCCCAGACUCCUACGGGAGGCAGCAGUGGGGAAUAUUGCACAAUGGGCGGAAGCCUGAUGCAGCGACGCCGCGUGGGGGAUGACGGCCUUCGGGUUGUAAACUCCUUUCACCAUCGACGAAGGUUUUCUGACGGUAGAUGGAGAAGAAGCACCGGCUAACUACGUG
RNAcentral lists this ribosomal RNA (464 nucleotides) under uncultured bacterium. RNAcentral describes it as "partial 16S ribosomal RNA". It matches the Rfam family "Bacterial small subunit ribosomal RNA", at positions 28 to 507 of the family's 1533-position model. The record is from RNAcentral.